GACGAACGCUGGCGGCGUGCUUAACACAUGCAAGUCGAACGAAGAGCGAUGGAAGCUUGCUUCUAUCAAUCUUAGUGGCGAACGGGUGAGUAACGCGUAAUCAACCUGCCCUUCAGAGGGGGACAACAGUUGGAAACGACUGCUAAUACCGCAUACGAUCUAAUCUCGGCAUCGAGGAUAGAGGAAAGGUGGCCUCUACAUGUAAGCAUUCACUGAAGGAGGGGAUUGGGGCUGAUUAGCUAGUUGGUGGGGUAAGGGCCCACCAAGGCGAUGAUCCGUAGCCGGUCUGAGAGGAUGAACGGCCCAAUUGGGACUGAGACACGGCCCAGACUCCUACGGGAGGCAGCAGUGGGGAAUCUUCCGCAAUGGACGAAAGUCUGACGGAGCAACGCCGCGUGAGCGAUGACGGCCUUCGGGUUGUAAAGCUCUGUUAAUCGGGACGAAAGGCCUUCUUGCGAAUAGUGAGAAGGAUUGACGGUACCGGAAUAGAAAGCCACGGCUAACUACGUG
Molecule: ribosomal RNA, 510 nt
Filed under: uncultured bacterium
Lineage: Bacteria
Description: partial 16S ribosomal RNA
Rfam family: Bacterial small subunit ribosomal RNA
Source: RNAcentral